GAAGAAUGUCACGUAUCUGGUCGCAUUAGCCGUAAUCCGCCGUGUAUUUCUUAACUGCGUGUGUAAAGUGAGAAGAAACGUUUUUACGGAAUUUCGCACGUACCAGUCGGCGCCGCUAAUCGAAGACGGAAGUGACAUUUCGCGAAGGGGAAAGCCGGAAGUUCGGCCGCCGCGAGGUCGCGUGAGUAGGAAGCGAGAUUUCACGGCGGCGCAAUGUCAAAUGCCGAUUGAAAUUGCUCCCGAGGAACCGCGAUCUCUUUCGCGGUAAGGUAAAUAAAUAACGAUAUGAGAUAUGUAUCGGCCUGUUCAGAUAAACGAAUGAUUUAUCGGGGGAAAGUCUGUCUUGAUUCUUGAUCGCACCAAUGUAUUUUGAAGACCAACAAGAUCUUCUUAUCGAAUGACAAAAAGAAAUUUACAGCGUGAUAUCGUUUUAAUCGACAGAUCGCGACUUUCCUUUGCGAAAACGCGAAAGCUCAAUGUAACUGAUACCGAUUAACUGAUACCGAUAUAUCAAUCACGCGGGAAGACUUGGCCGCUUUAUUAUCGUAGAUAUAAUCGAGCGUGCGCGGCGGCCGGAGCAGCCUGACUCGUGGCCAAUUAGGGAGUGUCGUGGUACGCAUCGUAAUAUACGGGCCUAUGAGGGUAAAAACCCCCGAGGAUAAAGUACCCUCUUCGGCAAACCUCCCGGCAACCCUCCGGCAACCCUCCGGCUGAUACCUUUGGCGUCUCUGCGUCGUGCACAGAUACCUGCGUAGAUCUCGGAUCGAUAGAUCGGUGCAGAAAUCGUUCCGAGAAUCGCAAAGGCCAAGGCAACGGCAGGCAGAAAAGCAGGAUAACGAGAACAGACUGUACUGCUAGAUAAAUAAACGCUACAUACGCCGAUGUCUUUGCUCCACACCACGG
Long non-coding RNA from Vollenhovia emeryi, 903 nucleotides. RefSeq lists it as uncharacterized. NCBI's taxonomy places the organism in Eukaryota, Metazoa, Arthropoda, Insecta, Hymenoptera, Formicidae. The transcript is spliced from 3 exons. The record is from RefSeq and is a predicted model, not a curated record.